This is a long non-coding RNA of Mytilus californianus (California mussel), 1933 nucleotides long. RefSeq lists it as uncharacterized. The transcript has 2 exons. The record is from RefSeq and is a predicted model, not a curated record. NCBI's taxonomy places the organism in Eukaryota, Metazoa, Mollusca, Bivalvia, Mytilida, Mytilidae.
UUGGGGAUGGGGAUAUUUUAUUGUUUUUACUGGAACAAACUGAGAGUGAGGUGGCUCAGCCUGCAUGUGAAGCUCUGUAACAUGCUUUUAAGGGGGAAAAAGUAUUUUAUUUGUUUUUAUCCAAAUUUUAAUUGGGGAUAUUUUACUGUUUUUAUCCAAAUUUUAAUUGGGGAUAUUUUACUGUUUUUAUCCAAAUUUUAAUUGGGGAUAUUUUACUGUUUUUAUCCAAAUUUUAAUUGGGGAUAUUUUAUUGUUUUUACUGGAACAAACUGAGAGUGAGGUGGCUCAGUCUGCAUGUGAAGCUCUGUAACAUGCUUUUAAGGGGAAAAAAGUAUUUUAUUUGUUUUUAUCCAAAUUUUAAUUGGGAAUAUUUUACUGUUUUUUAUCCAAAUUUUAAUUGGGGAUAUUUUAUUGUUUUUACUGGAACAAACUGAGAGUGAGGUGGCUCAAGUCUGCAUGUGAAGCUCUGUUACAUGCUGCUUAGGGGAAAAAAGUAUUUUGUUUGUUUUUAUCCAAAUUUUAAUUGGGGAUAUUUUACUGUUUUAUCCAAAUUUUAAUUGGGGAUUUUUUACUGGAACAAACUGAGAGUGAGGUGGCUCAGUCUGCAUGUGAAGCUCUGUAACAUGCUUUUAAGGGGAAAAAAGUAUUUUAUUUGUUUUUAUCCAAAUUUUAAUUGGGAAUAUUUUACUGUUUUCAUCCAAAUUUUAAUUGGGGAUAUUUUUCUGCAUUUAUCCAAAUUUUAAUCGGAUAUUUUACUGUUUUUAUCUAAAUUUUAAUUAGGGAUAUUUUACUGUUUUUAUCUAAAUUUUAAUUGGAGAUAUUUUACUGUUUUUAUCCUAAUUUAUAAGUUGAGGCAGGUCAUUUAAUGAUUAUUUGGGAAAUGAGGGACUUUUACAUUAUUUUAUCCAUUUGGGUGUGGGGGACAAAGGGAAUAUUUUACUUUUUAAGACCAAAUUUUAAUUUAUACAGGAGACCUCUUUUUUUUUAUCUUUUUUUAGUUAAAUGUUGAGCCCCCAAGUCAAAUCAAAGACUUAAAAACUGGUACUCCAAAAGGAAAAGAUAGGUGACCUACUGUGGGCAUUUGUCUUGGUGAACUAGCACCUUAAAGUCCAGCUAACCCACAGGCCGGCUGGCUAGUACAAGCAGACAGGUAUUUUUAAUACCAUUUGGCAUUUUUAAACUUUGGCAUUUUUCAUUUGGCUUUUUGUUUUAUGUGUUUUUUGAACUAUUUGGAUUUAUACCAUUUGGCAAUUUUCAUUUAUGUUUUUUUCAUUUUUUUCAACAUAUUUUGUAAUCAACACACCAAAAACACUUCAAAAUUAAGAGUGGGAUAUAUACUUUUUGGCCUCCAUAAUGUUUAUCAAUCAAAACAGCAUUCUAUUUUCAAAUUUACAUUACACAAUUUGGCUUUCUGCAACGUUGGCUGUUAAUCUUUUGUACGAAUGCUAUGAUGACCAUUAUGUGUAGAAAAUAAGACUACAUUUCUAAAAGUGGCUCAAGUUCAUAUAUUUAUGUUUGAUAUCAAUCAGUUCUAAAUUUCAUUCACAUUUCUAAAAUUUUAAGAUCUUCCAUAUCUGGUACAUCUUAUAAAAUCGUAUUCAUCUACUAACCCAAUUUUCUCAUAGGGACUUAACACGAAGCAGAAGGGGUAUUAGGUGGUAGGUGGUUAAGGGUGUUAUGAUAGGGUGAAAGGGUGAGAAAGGGAGGGAGAAAAAUAGAAUGAUGGAGAGGGUGAGGGUAUAUGAUUGUGAGUGGAAUAUAGAGAGGGGGUUAAUCUGUGAGAGAAUGUGAUUUCAUAGUAAGGGCAGGGUGUACUGGUCUGGAAGUAUAGUUUCUGUUUUGUCUCAUGUAGUUUCUGUUUUCUACAUCAAUCUGAUAAGUUUAAAUAUUGAGAAAUUGCUGUCGUCUAAAAGUUCACAGGUUAACAGCCUUU